GGUUAAGCGACUAAGCGUACACGGUGGAUGCCCUGGCAGUCAGAGGCGAUGAAGGGCGUGCUAAUCUGCGAUAAGCGCCGGUAAGGUGAUAUGAACCGUUAUAACCGGCGAUACCCGAAUGGGGAAACCCAGUGUGACUCGUCACACUAUCAUUAACUGAAUCCAUAGGUUAAUGAGGCGAACCGGGGGAACUGAAACAUCUAAGUACCCCGAGGAAAAGAAAUCAACCGAGAUUCCCCCAGUAGCGGCGAGCGAACGGGGAGGAGCCCAGAGCCUGAAUCAGCAUGUGUGUUAGUGGAAGCGUCUGGAAAGGCGCGCGAUACAGGGUGACAGCCCCGUACACAAAAGCGCAUGUGCUGUGAGCUCGAUGAGUAGGGCGGGACACGUGGUAUCCUGUCUGAAUAUGGGGGGACCAUCCUCCAAGGCUAAAUACUCCUGACUGACCGAUAGUGAACCAGUACCGUGAGGGAAAGGCGAAAAGAACCCCGGCGAGGGGAGUGAAAAAGAACCUGAAACCGUGUACGUACA
This 528-nucleotide ribosomal RNA is filed under the name Salmonella enterica. RNAcentral describes it as "partial 23S ribosomal RNA". It matches the Rfam family "Bacterial large subunit ribosomal RNA", at positions 1 to 568 of the family's 2925-position model. RNAcentral also lists the same sequence under 1 other name. Lineage: Bacteria; Pseudomonadati; Pseudomonadota; Gammaproteobacteria; Enterobacterales; Enterobacteriaceae. The record is from RNAcentral.